UUGGAGGGCAAGUCUGGUGCCAGCAGCCGCGGUAAUUCCAGCUCCAAUAGCGUAUAUUAAAGUUGUUGCAGUUAAAAAGCUCGUAGUUGAAUUUCGGGAUCAGUAUGUUGGUCGUGCUUCGGUACGUACUGUCAUUACUGGUUUCUACCUUCUGAAGAACCUUGAUGUCAUUAAUUUGGUGUCUUGGGGAAUCAGGACUGUUACUUUGAAAAAAUUAGAGUGUUUAAAGCAAGCAUACGCUUGAAUACAUUAGCAUGGAAUAAUGAAAUAGGACGUUUGAUUCUAUUUUGUUGGUUUCUAGGAUCGACGUAAUGAUUAAUAGGGAUAGUUGGGGGCAUUAGUAUUCAAUUGUCAGAGGUGAAAUUCUUGGAUUUAUUGAAGACUAACUACUGCGAAAGCAUUUGCCAAGGAUGUUUUCAUUAAUCAAGAGCGGAAGUUAGGGGAUCGAAGACGAUCAGAUACCGUCGUAGUCUUAACCAUAAACUAUGCCGACUAGGAAUCAGACGAUGUUAAUUUUUUAAUGACUCGUUUGGCACCUUACGGGAAACCAAAGUGUUUGGGUUC
This 564-nucleotide ribosomal RNA is filed under the name uncultured Glomeromycotina. RNAcentral's name for it is "SSU rRNA". It matches the Rfam family "Eukaryotic small subunit ribosomal RNA", at positions 548 to 1114 of the family's 1831-position model. The record is from RNAcentral. Lineage: Eukaryota; Fungi; Glomeromycota.